GAUGAACGCUGGCGGCGUGCCUAAUACAUGCAAGUCGAGCGAACGGACGAGAAGCUUGCUUCUCUGAUGUUAGCGGCGGACGGGUGAGUAACACGUGGAUAACCUACCUAUAAGACUGGGAUAACUUCGGGAAACCGGAGCUAAUACCGGAUAAUAUUUUGAACCGCAUGGUUCAAAAGUGAAAGACGGUCUUGCUGUCACUUAUAGAUGGAUCCGCGCUGCAUUAGCUAGUUGGUAAGGUAACGGCUUACCAAGGCAACGAUGCAUAGCCGACCUGAGAGGGUGAUCGGCCACACUGGAACUGAGACACGGUCCAGACUCCUACGGGAGGCAGCAGUAGGGAAUCUUCCGCAAUGGGCGAAAGCCUGACGGAGCAACGCCGCGUGAGUGAUGAAGGUCUUCGGAUCGUAAAACUCUGUUAUUAGGGAAGAACAUAUGUGUAAGUAACUGUGCACAUCUUGACGGUACCUAAUCAGAAAGCCACGGCUAACUACGUGCCAACAGCCGCGGUAAUACGUAGGUGGCAAGCGUUAUCCGGAAUUAUUGGGCGUAAAGCGCGGCGUAUGCGGUUUUUUAGUCUGAUGUGAAAGCCCACGGCUCUACCGUGGAGGGUCAUUGGAAACUGGAAAACUUGAGUGCAGAAGAGGAAAGUGGAAUUCCAUGUGUAGCGGUGAAAUGCGCAGAGAUAUGGAGGAACACCAGUGGCGAAGGCGACUUUCUGGUCUGUAACUGACGCUGAUGUGCGAAAGCGUGGGGAUCAAACAGGAUUAGAUACCCUGGUAGUCCACGCCGUAAACGAUGAGUGCUAAGUGUUAGGGGGUUUCCGCCCCUUAGUGCUGCAGCUAACGCAUUAAGCACUCCGCCUGGGGAGUACGACCGCAAGGUUGAAACUCAAAGGAAUUGACGGGGACCCGCACAAGCGGUGGAGCAUGUGGUUUAAUUCGAAGCAACGCGAAGAACCUUACCAAAUCUUGACAUCCUUUGACAACUCUAGAGAUAGAGCCUUCCCCUUCGGGGGACAAAGUGACAGGUGGUGCAUGGUUGUCGUCAGCUCGUGUCGUGAGAUGUUGGGUUAAGUCCCGCAACGAGCGCAACCCUUAAGCUUAGUUGCCAUCAUUAAGUUGGGCACUCUAAGUUGACUGCCGGUGACAAACCGGAGGAAGGUGGGGAUGACGUCAAAUCAUCAUGCCCCUUAUGAUUUGGGCUACACACGUGCUACAAUGGACAAUACAAAGGGCAGCGAAACCGCGAGGUCAAGCAAAUCCCAUAAAGUUGUUCUCAGUUCGGAUUGUAGUCUGCAACUCGACUACAUGAAGCUGGAAUCGCUAGUAAUCGUAGAUCAGCAUGCUACGGUGAAUACGUUCCCGGGUCU
RNAcentral lists this ribosomal RNA (1372 nucleotides) under uncultured bacterium. Its description in RNAcentral is "bacterial SSU rRNA". It matches the Rfam family "Bacterial small subunit ribosomal RNA", at positions 28 to 1381 of the family's 1533-position model. The record is from RNAcentral.